ACGAACGCUGGCGGCAUGCCUAACACAUGCAAGUCGAACGAGACCUUCGGGUCUAGUGGCGCACGGGUGCGUAACGCGUGGGAACCUGCCCUUAGGUUCGGAAUAACUCCCCGAAAGGGGUGCUAAUACCGGAUAAUGUCUUCGGACCAAAGAUUUAUCGCCUCUGGAUGGGCCCGCGUUGGAUUAGCUAGUUGGUAGGGUAAAAGCCUACCAAGGCGACGAUCCAUAGCUGGUCUGAGAGGAUGAUCAGCCACACUGGGACUGAGACACGGCCCAGACUCCUACGGGAGGCAGCAGUGGGGAAUAUUGGACAAUGGGCGAAAGCCUGAUCCAGCAAUGCCGCGUGAGUGAUGAAGGCCUUAGGGUUGUAAAGCUCUUUUACCCGGGAUGAUAAUGACAGUACCGGGAGAAUAAGCUCCGGCUAACUCCGUG
This 432-nucleotide ribosomal RNA is filed under the name uncultured bacterium. RNAcentral describes it as "partial 16S ribosomal RNA". It matches the Rfam family "Bacterial small subunit ribosomal RNA", at positions 29 to 507 of the family's 1533-position model. The record is from RNAcentral.